RNAcentral lists this small nuclear RNA (19 nucleotides) under Arabidopsis thaliana (thale cress). RNAcentral's name for it is "snRNA_16085". The record is from RNAcentral. Lineage: Eukaryota; Viridiplantae; Streptophyta; Magnoliopsida; Brassicales; Brassicaceae.
GAACAAGUACCGCGAGGUA